This 492-nucleotide ribosomal RNA is filed under the name uncultured bacterium. RNAcentral's name for it is "partial 16S ribosomal RNA". It matches the Rfam family "Bacterial small subunit ribosomal RNA", at positions 30 to 507 of the family's 1533-position model. The record is from RNAcentral.
AUUGAACGCUGGCGGCAUGCUUUACACAUGCAAGUCGAACGGUAACAGGCCUUCGGGUGCUGACGAGUGGCGAACGGGUGAGUAAUGCAUCGGAACGUGCCCGGAGGUGGGGGAUAACGCAGCGAAAGCUGUGCUAAUACCGCAUGUGAUCUGAGGAUGAAAGCGGGGGACCAGGCAGCAAUGUUUGGCCUCGCGCCUUUGGAGCGGCCGAUGUCAGAUUAGGUAGUUGGUGGGGUAAAGGCCUACCAAGCCGACGAUCUGUAGCUGGUCUGAGAGGACGACCAGCCACACUGGGACUGAGACACGGCCCAGACUCCUACGGGAGGCAGCAGUGGGGAAUUUUGGACAAUGGGCGUAAGCCUGAUCCAGCAAUGCCGCGUGCGGGAAGAAGGCCUUCGGGUUGUAAACCGCUUUUGUACGGAACGAAAAGGCUCUGGCUAAUACCUGGGGCUGAUGACGGUACCGUAAGAAUAAGCACCGGCUAACUACGUG